UACGUAGGGGGCAAGCGUUGUCCGGAUUUAUUGGGCGUAAAGAGCGUGUAGGCGGUUAUACAGGUCCGCUGUGAAAACUGGAGGCUUAACCUCCAGACGUCGGUGGAAACCGUAUGACUAGAGUCCGGAAGAGGAGAGUGGAAUUCCUGGUGUAGCGGUGAAAUGCGCAGAUAUCAGGAAGAACACCCGUGGCGAAGGCAGCUCUCUGGGACGGUACUGACGCUGAGACGCGAAAGCGUGGGGAGCGAACAGG
RNAcentral lists this ribosomal RNA (253 nucleotides) under uncultured bacterium. RNAcentral describes it as "partial 16S ribosomal RNA". It matches the Rfam family "Bacterial small subunit ribosomal RNA", at positions 524 to 776 of the family's 1533-position model. The record is from RNAcentral.